This 182-nucleotide non-coding RNA is filed under the name Xanthomonas fragariae. Its description in RNAcentral is "FMN sequence". It matches the Rfam family "FMN riboswitch aptamer (RFN element)". Rfam says of the family: The RFN element is a highly conserved domain that is found frequently in the 5'-untranslated regions of prokaryotic mRNAs that encode for flavin mononucleotide (FMN) biosynthesis and transport proteins. This element is a metabolite-dependent riboswitch that directly binds FMN in the absence of proteins. In Bacillus subtilis, the riboswitch most likely controls gene expression by causing premature transcription termination within the 5' untranslated region of the ribDEAHT operon and precluding access to the ribosome-binding site of ypaA mRNA. Lineage: Bacteria; Pseudomonadati; Pseudomonadota; Gammaproteobacteria; Lysobacterales; Lysobacteraceae. The record is from RNAcentral.
GAACGUCUUCAGGGCGGGGUGCGAUUCCCCACCGGCGGUAUGCAUGCGCAAGCGUGCGAGCCCGCGAGCGCUUUCGCAUGCUAGUCCCGGAUUUUCAGUAUUCGGGCGCUUCAGUGCGCAAGGUCAGCAGAUCCGGUGCGAUGCCGGGGCCGACGGUAUAGUCCGGAUGAAAGAAGACGGCC